RNAcentral lists this transfer-messenger RNA (374 nucleotides) under Bacteroidota bacterium. It matches the Rfam family "transfer-messenger RNA". Rfam says of the family: Bacterial tmRNA, also known as 10Sa RNA or SsrA, is named for its dual tRNA and mRNA-like properties. Its role is to liberate the mRNA from a stalled ribosome. To accomplish this part of the tmRNA is used as a reading frame that ends in a translation stop signal. Lineage: Bacteria; Pseudomonadati; Bacteroidota. The record is from RNAcentral.
GGGGGUGUUUGGUUUUGACAGCAUAGAUCUUUGAAAGUGCAAGCAUGCCGAGCGUUGGAUAAUUAGCUCGUAAAUCUGAAUAUUCGACAAUUAAAUGGCGAAUCUACUUACGCCAUGGCUGCCUAAUUAAACAAUUAGCGCAACCAUUAUGGCCGGGUGUGUUUGUUAGCCUUUACAAACCGCUCCGCCCAAUCAAACAAACCUAAAGGCUGCGGCAAUGGAAGGCUGUGACUAUUGCUUAAGAACAUGCAGCUAAGGAAAGGGUUGGUUGGUUCCGUUCCGGCCAUUUCCCGACAAUGAAUACGGAUCUAAGCAUGUAGAAAGCUUUCGACGAUUAUGUUUGGACACCGGUUCGACUCCGGUCACCUCCACCA